This 1095-nucleotide ribosomal RNA is filed under the name Saprolegnia torulosa. RNAcentral's name for it is "eukaryotic LSU rRNA". It matches the Rfam family "Eukaryotic large subunit ribosomal RNA", at positions 76 to 1050 of the family's 3401-position model. The record is from RNAcentral. Lineage: Eukaryota; Oomycota; Saprolegniomycetes; Saprolegniales; Saprolegniaceae.
UCCCCCAGUAACGGCGAGUGAAGCGGGAAGAGCUCAAGCUUAAAAUCUCCAUACUUGUAUGGCGAAUUGUAGUCUAUUGAGGCUGUUGUCAGCAUCGCGAUCGGGGACAAGUCCCUUGGAAAAGGGCAGCAUGGAGGGUGAUACUCCCGUCUCUGCUCCGAUUUGCGGUGUGUACGAUACGCUUUCUUUGAGUCGAGUUGUUUGGGAAUACAGCUCAAAGUAGGUGGUAAAUUCCAUCUAAAGCUAAAUAUUGGUGCGAGACCGAUAGCGAACAAGUACCGUGAGGGAAAGAUGAAAAGAACUUUGAAAAGAGAGUUAAAGAGUACCUGAAACUGUUGAAAGGGAACCGUAUCGUUUCCAGUGUUUUAUCCUGUGCAUAUUUCAUUCGCGGAGCAAUUUGCGGGUGCCCUGUGCAUGGGUGUGACGUCAGAGUCAGUUUGUAUGCUGCGGGAGAUGGUCAGUGAGGAGGUGCGUCACUUCGGUGAAAGUUAUAUCUCGCUGUCUAGUAGCCGUGGUUGAGACUGAGGUGCCUACAACAUGCCUUGGGGUUUCGUGUUGUCUCGUGUUAAUAACUGCUUUGAUAGCUUGCUAUGUCUGUGGUUUAUUGAUGCGAUUGAUGAUGCGGAUAACCUCUGCUGUUCGGGACUCUGGCGAAAUGGAGCGAUACGACCCGUCUUGAAACACGGACCAAGGAGUCUAACAUGUGUGCAAGUAUUAGGGCGUGGAAACCCAAAUGCGUAAUGAAAGUAAAUGCUGCUUAUGCAGCUGUGGUAGGAAAGGGCUGUCAAGGUCCUGGCACUAUCGACCGAUCAUGAGCCUACGGGCAAAAGAUUUGAGUAUGAGCAUAUAUGUUGGUACCCGAAAGAUGGUGAACUAUGCCUGAAUAGGGUGAAGCCAGGGGAAACUCUGGUGGAAGCUCGUAGCGAUUCUGACGUGCAAAUCGAUCGUCAAAUUUGGGUAUAGGGGCGAAAGACUAAUCGAACCAUCUAGUAGCUGGUUCCCUCCGAAAUUUCCCUCAGGAUAGCAGCAACUUUUUACGAUAGUUUUAUGAGGUAAAGCGAAUGAUUAGAGGCCUCGGGGAAGAAACUUCCUCGA